CAACCAUGAUAUGGGCAUCGACAGGUGG
This 28-nucleotide small RNA is filed under the name Bombyx mori (domestic silkworm). Its description in RNAcentral is "ovarian small RNA-12778". Lineage: Eukaryota; Metazoa; Arthropoda; Insecta; Lepidoptera; Bombycidae. The record is from RNAcentral.